UACAGAGGGGGCAAGCGUUAUUCGGAAUUAUUGGGCGUAAAGGGCUCGUAGGCGGUCUGUUGCGUCGGGAGUGAAAACUCAGGGCUUAACCCUGAGCCUGCUUCCGAUACGGGCAGACUAGAGGUAUGCAGGGGAGAACGGAAUUCCUGGUGUAGCGGUGAAAUGCGCAGAUAUCAGGAGGAACACCGGUGGCGAAGGCGGUUCUCUGGGCAUUACCUGACGCUGAGGAGCGAAAGUGUGGGAGCGAACAGG
RNAcentral lists this ribosomal RNA (252 nucleotides) under uncultured bacterium. RNAcentral's name for it is "partial 16S ribosomal RNA". It matches the Rfam family "Bacterial small subunit ribosomal RNA", at positions 524 to 776 of the family's 1533-position model. The record is from RNAcentral.